RNAcentral lists this small RNA (105 nucleotides) under Pseudomonas kilonensis. RNAcentral's name for it is "Pseudomonas rnk leader". It matches the Rfam family "Pseudomonas rnk leader". Lineage: Bacteria; Pseudomonadati; Pseudomonadota; Gammaproteobacteria; Pseudomonadales; Pseudomonadaceae. The record is from RNAcentral.
UGUCCCGAGUUGUUUAUUUAUUGAGCUGUGGUAGUGUCCAGCUACGCCUCCACUUAUCGAGGCCCGUGAAAACCCCGCCUUUUUGUGGCGGGGUUUUGCUUUUUU